UGCAUUUUUCUGAAUUGUGUGUCAUCCCAGCAAGCUUUGAGCACUCUGGAUUCUGAGUUAGGAACAAGUCAUCUUGAGAAGCAUCUUUCGCUGUAUUCUAUGAAAGAGAAAGUUACUAUGUUUCAUCGUGAAAACCAGCCAGUACGAUGAAGGUUGGGGAGUUCUGUAGAAGAUUUACCUGAGAGAACUUAAGGGGAAUAUCUGAAGUCAACUGUACCUUGAGGGCAAGUUAAGAAAAAGGUCAUAUCCUAUUCUUGUAAAAGGUGAGCCAGAAAUUUCUAGGUUAAGAGGUUUUUCAAAUUGGUUUUAUUCAGUUGAUUUCAUUCGAUAUUGGCUCCCCUAAAGAAUUUUGUAUGGU
This 358-nucleotide long non-coding RNA is filed under the name Crocodylus porosus (Australian saltwater crocodile). RNAcentral describes it as "lncRNA (ENSCPRG00005002663.1)". The record is from RNAcentral. Lineage: Eukaryota; Metazoa; Chordata; Crocodylia; Crocodylidae.